Molecule: long non-coding RNA, 238 nt
Filed under: Elaeis guineensis (African oil palm)
Lineage: Eukaryota; Viridiplantae; Streptophyta; Magnoliopsida; Arecales; Arecaceae
Description: long non-coding RNA (EGUI_LNC062769)
Source: RNAcentral
GGAGGAGUUAUUAGUUGAACCAGGUCUAUGGUGGACCAUCCAACCAGAAAGCAAUAUGUACAAUUGCAAUUCCUUUUCUCUCCUCAGCAACACAUGCUAGUUGGGUGGUCCACGGUGGAUCUGGUCCAACUGAAAAUAUCUUCUUAAAAUGGUUGUUAAAUCUCAGUUUCCAGAAGGACAAGAUCUUUGCAAUAGUUAACCGUUAAUUGUAAAGGGCAGAGGGACGGGAGUGGAGGAA